CCUACGGGUGGCAGCAGUAGGGAAUUUUCGUCAAUGGGCGCAAGCCUGAACGAGCAAUGUCGCGUGAACGAGGAAUGUCCUCGGAUCGUAAAGUUCUUUUGAAGGGGAAAUAGAGCGGAGAGAGGAAAUGUUUUCUGAUGGAUAUUACCCUUCGAGGAAGUCACGGCUAACGCCGUGCCAGCAGCCGCGGCAAUACGUAGGUGGCGAGCGUUAUCCGGAAUGAUUGGGCGUAAAGGGUGCGUAGGCGGCCUGGUAAGUCUGGAGUGAAAGGUACCGGCUCAACCGGUACAGGCUCUGGGAACUGGGGAGCUCGAGGGACAGAGAGGGCAGUGGGAUUCCGUGGGUAGCGGUAAAAUGGGUAGAUA
RNAcentral lists this ribosomal RNA (365 nucleotides) under uncultured bacterium. RNAcentral describes it as "partial 16S ribosomal RNA". It matches the Rfam family "Bacterial small subunit ribosomal RNA", at positions 338 to 696 of the family's 1533-position model. The record is from RNAcentral.